AUCCGACCGACGAGUCCCAAAUAGGACAAAACACACGUCCUGGAU
This 45-nucleotide non-coding RNA is filed under the name Schistosoma bovis. Lineage: Eukaryota; Metazoa; Platyhelminthes; Trematoda; Strigeidida; Schistosomatidae. The record is from RNAcentral. RNAcentral also lists the same sequence under 1 other name.